GAUGGAUGACGGAUACGAGCCCAGAUGACGACGAAUAUGACCAAUCUGUUUUCUCUCAUCGGAUUGGAUCAUUUUGGGGACCGCCCCGACAAUUUUUAAAAGUCACCUGUAACUCUACUAAGGGACCAAGUCGGUGACCCGGCAUUUGACGUACAAGUAACCAAAAAGUCGGAUAUUUCGAUGGGGGAGGGAAAUACAUGGAUUCUGGCAUCUUGGACGUGCUCGUAUCGUGACAUGGAGAGAUUUGAAGAGUUUUCCGCGUCAGAAAAACUCCGAUAUUGCGUUUUCUACAAAUUCUUGGAAUGGACUACAGUUGGGGGGUGCCAUGAUGGUGCACUUGGGGAUACAUCGUGGAUCUGAGUGUUUGCAGGCCCAGGGAUAAUGGAUUUGGGAGUCGAAUACUUCAUUUAUGAGCUCAAUAGAUGCUCA
This 429-nucleotide unclassified non-coding RNA is filed under the name Yarrowia lipolytica. The record is from RNAcentral. Lineage: Eukaryota; Fungi; Ascomycota; Dipodascomycetes; Dipodascales.